This 862-nucleotide long non-coding RNA is filed under the name Sparus aurata (gilthead seabream). Its description in RNAcentral is "lncRNA (ENSSAUG00010003750.1)". Lineage: Eukaryota; Metazoa; Chordata; Actinopteri; Spariformes; Sparidae. The record is from RNAcentral.
AUGUCGCAAAAAAGGACUUACCCUUCAGGGGCAGAAAAAAGAAAAAGGAAGAAAUAUAAAAACGACAAGAUAAAGGUCCAUCUCUAUCCUCUGUGCCCACUGUCCCUUUUGUGUCUUCUGCAACCUCAGCUGUACCUGGUCCUUCAUCUUUGGUCAUUGAGAUUGAUUUGUCCUCAUCAGCGUCCAGUUUGGAGCAGGGAUCAGCAGCUCCGCCAGUUGACCCCACUGAAUGUCCCUCUUUCCUGUCAGACUCAGAAAGGACUGAACAGGAGCAAUUCUGAAGUAUUUUGGAGCCGCAGAACAGGAAGCAGCACUGCCGCCUUCAGCACCAGAGAUUGUCAAGGAGCUCUCAUAUGCUGGCAAGGAAGCAGACAUUUUCAGGAGGGGCUUAGGGUAGAUCUGCUUAAAACACAAGACUCAGAUGAUACUGAUAAUCAUCACAAAGUGGUGUGAUUGUGUUAUAUAGUUCUGUAUGGUUCCUUUAAAGUAUUGUUUUCAUUGUUGCAUUUUUAUUGUAUGCUGGUUUAUUGUGUUGGUCCUGAAGGGCUUGUGUUACAUUUGAAAGGUUCCUUACUACCAGCAUUAUUCUUGUUAGUUUUUUUGUUUUUAUUGUUUGCAUAUUGAUAUGGAUGCUGGCUCAUUGUGAUUUUCUUUUUAAAAUAGUAAUAGCCUAUUUUAUUUUCUAUACAACUUAAACUUUAGUUUUGGGUGUAUGUAUAUUUUAUGUUUAAUGUCAACUUAAAAUAAAUAAAAUUGAGGAACACUCCAUCAGUUUCAUUUAUUGACCUAUCAAGGAUCCCUAUUGUUUACCUUGUAUUAUCAUUUUCUAUCAGUUCAACUUACUAGUGUGGGUCAACUUAAG